GACGAACGCUGGCGGCGUGCCUAAUACAUGCAAGUUGAGCGCUGAAGGUUGGUACUUGUACCAACUGGAUGAGCAGCGAACGGGUGAGUAACGCGUGGGGAAUCUGCCUUUGAGUGGGGGACAACAUUUGGAAACGAAUGCUAAUACCGCAUAAAAACUUUAAACACAAGUUUUAAGUUUGAAAGAUGCAAUUGCAUCACUCAAAGAUGAUCCCGCGUUGUAUUAGCUAGUUGGUGAGGUAAAGGCUCACCAAGGCGAUGAUACAUAGCCGACCUGAGAGGGUGAUCGGCCACAUUGGGACUGAGACACGGCCCAAACUCCUACGGGAGGCAGCAGUAGGGAAUCUUCGGCAAUGGACGAAAGUCUGACCGAGCAACGCCGCGUGAGUGAAGAAGGUUUUCGGAUCGUAAAACUCGGUUGGUAGAGAAGAACGUUGGUGAGAGUGGAAAGCUCAUCAAGUGACGGUAACUACCCAGAAAGGGACGGCUAACUACGUG
RNAcentral lists this ribosomal RNA (497 nucleotides) under uncultured bacterium. Its description in RNAcentral is "partial 16S ribosomal RNA". It matches the Rfam family "Bacterial small subunit ribosomal RNA", at positions 28 to 507 of the family's 1533-position model. The record is from RNAcentral.